AAAUUGAAGAGUUUGAUCAUGGCUCAGAUUGAACGCUGGCGGCAGGCCUAACACAUGCAAGUCGAACGGUAACAGGAAGCAGCUUGCUGCUUUGCUGACGAGUGGCGGACGGGUGAGUAAUGUCUGGGAAACUGCCUGAUGGAGGGGGAUAACUACUGGAAACGGUAGCUAAUACCGCAUAACGUCGCAAGACCAAAGAGGGGGACCUUCGGGCCUCUUGCCAUCGGAUGUGCCCAGAUGGGAUUAGCUUGUUGGUGGGGUAACGGCUCACCAAGGCGACGAUCCCUAGCUGGUCUGAGAGGAUGACCAGCCACACUGGAACUGAGACACGGUCCAGACUCCUACGGGAGGCAGCAGUGGGGAAUAUUGCACAAUGGGCGCAAGCCUGAUGCAGCCAUGCCGCGUGUAUGAAGAAGGCCUUCGGGUUGUAAAGUACUUUCAGCGGGGAGGAAGGGAGUAAAGUUAAUACCUUUGCUCAUUGACGUUACCCGCAGAAGAAGCACCGGCUAACUCCGUGCCAGCAGCCGCGGUAAUACGGAGGGUGCAAGCGUUAAUCGGAAUUACUGGGCGUAAAGCGCACGCAGGCGGUUUGUUAAGUCAGAUGUGAAAUCCCCGGGCUCAACCUGGGAACUGCAUCUGAUACUGGCAAGCUUGAGUCUCGUAGAGGGGGUAGAAUUCCAGGUGUAGCGGUGAAAUGCGUAGAGAUCUGGAGGAAUACCGGUGGCGAAGGCGGCCCCUGGACGAAGACUGACGCUCAGGUGCGAAAGCGUGGGGAGCAAACAGGAUUAGAUACCCUGGUAGUCCACGCCGUAAACGAUGUCGACUUGGAGGUUGUGCCCUUGAGGCGUGGCUUCCGGAGCUAACGCGUUAAGUCGACCGCCUGGGGAGUACGGCCGCAAGGUUAAAACUCAAAUGAAUUGACGGGGGCCCGCACAAGCGGUGGAGCAUGUGGUUUAAUUCGAUGCAACGCGAAGAACCUUACCUGGUCUUGACAUCCACGGAAGUUUUCAGAGAUGAGAAUGUGCCUUCGGGAACCGUGAGACAGGUGCUGCAUGGCUGUCGUCAGCUCGUGUUGUGAAAUGUUGGGUUAAGUCCCGCAACGAGCGCAACCCUUAUCCUUUGUUGCCAGCGGUCCGGCCGGGAACUCAAAGGAGACUGCCAGUGAUAAACUGGAGGAAGGUGGGGAUGACGUCAAGUCAUCAUGGCCCUUACGACCAGGGCUACACACGUGCUACAAUGGCGCAUACAAAGAGAAGCGACCUCGCGAGAGCAAGCGGACCUCAUAAAGUGCGUCGUAGUCCGGAUUGGAGUCUGCAACUCGACUCCAUGAAGUCGGAAUCGCUAGUAAUCGUGGAUCAGAAUGCCACGGUGAAUACGUUCCCGGGCCUUGUACACACCGCCCGUCACACCAUGGGAGUGGGUUGCAAAAGAAGUAGGUAGCUUAACCUUCGGGAGGGCGCUUACCACUUUGUGAUUCAUGACUGGGGUGAAGUCGUAACAAGGUAACCGUAGGGGAACCUGCGGUUGGAUCACCUCCUUA
This 1540-nucleotide ribosomal RNA is filed under the name Escherichia coli. RNAcentral describes it as "bacterial SSU rRNA". It matches the Rfam family "Bacterial small subunit ribosomal RNA". The record is from RNAcentral. Lineage: Bacteria; Pseudomonadati; Pseudomonadota; Gammaproteobacteria; Enterobacterales; Enterobacteriaceae.